GGCGGAUGUGCUGAGGCUAUUACGAUCCUUUAUGGCAGAGGCAUACGGGGAUGCAGACGAGGCCAUGGCCCCUCAAAGAAGAGCUUCUCUGGACAGAAGUGAACACUGGAAAUUUCUAGAAGCAGUUUCGAGGCUGAGCUCUGAAAGAGGAGCCAUUGGUCUACACUUUGAAGAUGGGGUGAUAUGUGAUUGAAUCCACCACUCACCCACAUGAGCGCUGGAGGAGGUUGGGGGUGGCUAUCCAACGUCUUCAGUGUCGUUUUUCUUCACCUUUAGUGAACAUGCCACUCACCGGGGUACCCUGUCCAAUUGCUGCUGCUGGAGAACUAGAAACCAUACGUGAGUGUUGACCACAUAGCCUUGCACCAUCCAGCUCGGCUUCUGGAGAACUAGGGACCACAUAGCCUUGCACCAUCCAGCUUGGUAGUUACUAGCCCUAUGUAUUGCUUUACAUGUAUUUUAUUUUCCUUGCUUUUUUAUCUUGUAAUCUGAUCAACCCAUUAGAAUUUGGAAAUUUUAGCAAAAGCAACCCAAGUCCUGAGUUUGUCCGUUUGUUUAGCUCAUGUCAAAAGGGGAAAUGGGAAAUUGGUUUCAUGGCAAUAGAAGGACAGGGAGAUGGUCUUAGGAACUGCAGACUUCAGGGACUCAAAUGAUGUCACGGCCACAAUUUAUCAUCGCCGUGAUACCCCCUUCUUGACUUUCUGGGCCCUGCGUAGUUUUUACUUGUACACUGGCUUCCUCUCCGAGCAAGACAUCUGACCUCUGGAGGCUUGCAUGGCUGUCUCCCUCCUCUGGGUCUGUUCCUUCCUUCAGGGAAAAGGGAGGGAGGAGUGGGGAGGGGGGCAGAGAGGAGGGAAGAGAAAGGCUUAUAAGCCUCGGGAAACUUAAUAAGGCUCCGGAGUUGAGGUUCCCCUCCACCCACAAGUUGCACAGAGAGCUCCGAGCUCCUCCGGUGACUCAGCUUUUGUGAGUCAUCACCCAUGCUAGGUGACAAAUAUUCCUGAGUCACCCCCACUCCUGUUAAGCGACCAUUAUUAAACUUAUUGGUUCAUCAAGCUGAACUUGGGAGGGGCCAUUCGUUGGGCUCUGUUGUUGGUGCCCUGACUUGGGUGCACGGAUAUUUGUUCAUGUCUCCCAAAGUCUUGGACUGAUUAACACACUCACCGUUGUCAUUUCUGGGGUCCCACGGCCACCCACGUGGCCAUCAGCAUUCAGACAAAAUGUCCAGUCAUCCCAGGUGCUGGCCUUUCUGGGGCUAGCCGUGCCUGCGCCAUCAACGUUCAUCCCAGGGACUUAUGGCCAUGUAAUGGAUGGGUGGCGUGAGUACAUAAGCCCCCAUACGCAUGCGCUAAGUGACCUUUAGAAGCAGAUACGCCCUACCCACUCUCUCCAUGUUUCUUCCAGACAGGCGUGUGCACACACCCUCUGCCUACUUUUUACUAAUAAAACUAUUAAGUGGGUUUUGUUGUCUCUCUUGUGGUGUGUUCGCGCACACAGUAAGUAAUACCAUCUCCACAGGAAAACGCAGCCCUUUCUACCAGAACCUGACUGGUCCAGAUUGGGCUUUGUGUGUGGCCUGGAACCUGUCUAGAUGCACUGUCUAGAUGCUCGCCCCUGCCUGGGGGAGGUGAGUCCCCAGGAUGGGCAACCCCCACCCUCAACAGAGGGCGAAGAGAAAGUCCCUUGAAGGAAGUGCCAGGCACACAAAGGGUCCAUGGUUGAGAUGGAUGGACCCAGCAGCCGGCUGAUCCACCUGCUCUCUUCGGCAGCCUCGAGAACCUUCCCUGCCCCAUCAAAUCUCUCUUCCAGAAAAAACAACUCAGACAGUAGCAGAGCAGAGAGCUGACUCCAGGCAUCUCCACCGGCCGGGCCUGCAUGCCCUUAAAGCACCACAGUCUCCUCACCUCACACCACCUCUUUACAGCCCUGGAUUCAGGAGGAAGAACGAUGCACACGGGCCAGCCUCACUCACGGUUACCCUCCUGGCGACCGGACAGGAGCCUGUAGCCCCUGUUUUAGAUUGCCAACCCUCUUCUCUGGUUGGGCAGACACUCAGAGGGACCCCUUCUUAGGUGGGAAUCUCAGUGCCCCUUCCGGUUUCCUUUCUCAAGAGCCGCCCCCCCCUCUUAUGAGCCCCCAGAGCCUCUGGCCUCGCCAAGCUUGAGUUGUCACCACACGGAGGAGGCAUUUUGCAGGUGUGACCCAGUGGCCAGCCUAUCUGGCACACCGAACUUCUAGACAAGAAGCUUGACAUCCACGCUCCUGAAGUCAGAAUGAGGGAUUCCAAAGCGGCAUGGGGAGGGGUGGCUGCCUGCAGAUGAGUCUGUGGUCCCCAGUGUCUUCUACUGUGCAUCUACUGUACACAGAGAGGCGGUGUGAGCACUCACGGUCCAACCUGAGCUAAUGUGCCAACCAAUCACCACUGCCAGGCUUCCCCUAUGUUAGUAGUCGCACAUGUGCAAUAAAGCAGACACUGUUGCCCGAAACUCUUCAUCUCUUGUCGGAGGACGCCCGGGUAAUGACAGCAACCACAAAUGUGUA
This 2541-nucleotide long non-coding RNA is filed under the name Cricetulus griseus (Chinese hamster). RNAcentral's name for it is "lncRNA (ENSCGRG00015036921.1)". Lineage: Eukaryota; Metazoa; Chordata; Mammalia; Rodentia; Cricetidae. The record is from RNAcentral.